GCUCCUGUAGCUCAGUUGGAUAGAGCGUUGGGUUCCGAACCCAAAGGUCGGAGGUUCGAAUCCUCUCGGGGGCACCA
RNAcentral lists this transfer RNA (77 nucleotides) under candidate division WWE3 bacterium CG_4_10_14_0_2_um_filter_41_14. RNAcentral describes it as "tRNA-Arg". It matches the Rfam family "tRNA". Rfam says of the family: Transfer RNA (tRNA) molecules are approximately 80 nucleotides in length. Their secondary structure includes four short double-helical elements and three loops (D, anti-codon, and T loops). Further hydrogen bonds mediate the characteristic L-shaped molecular structure. tRNAs have two regions of fundamental functional importance: the anti-codon, which is responsible for specific mRNA codon recognition, and the 3' end, to which the tRNAs corresponding amino acid is attached (by aminoacyl-tRNA synthetases). tRNAs cope with the degeneracy of the genetic code in two manners: having more than one tRNA (with a specific anti-codon) for a particular amino acid; and 'wobble' base-pairing, i.e. permitting non-standard base-pairing at the 3rd anti-codon position. The record is from RNAcentral. Lineage: Bacteria; candidate division WWE3.